RNAcentral lists this ribosomal RNA (500 nucleotides) under uncultured bacterium. RNAcentral's name for it is "partial 16S ribosomal RNA". It matches the Rfam family "Bacterial small subunit ribosomal RNA", at positions 30 to 523 of the family's 1533-position model. The record is from RNAcentral.
AUUGAACGCUGGCGGCAUGCCUUACACAUGCAAGUCGAACGGCAGCACGGGAGCAAUCCUGGUGGCGAGUGGCGAACGGGUGAGUAAUAUAUCGGAACGUGCCCAGUCGUGGGGGAUAACGCAGCGAAAGCUGUGCUAAUACCGCAUACGAUCUACGGAUGAAAGCGGGGGAUCGCAAGACCUAGCGCGAUUGGAGCGGCCGAUAUCAGAUUAGUUAGUUGGUGGGGUAAAGGCUCACCAAGGCGACGAUCUGUAGCUGGUCUGAGAGGACGACCAGCCACACUGGAACUGAGACACGGUCCAUACUCCUACGGGAGGCAGCAGUGGGGAAUUUUGGACAAUGGGCGCAAGCCUGAUCCAGCAAUGCCGCGUGCAGGAUGAAGGCCUUCGGGUUGUAAACUGCUUUUGUACGGAGCGAAACGGUCUUUCCUAAUACGAGAGGCUAAUGACGGUACCGUAAGAAUAAGCACCGGCUAACUACGUGCCAGCCGCCGCCGUAA